Molecule: ribosomal RNA, 112 nt
Filed under: uncultured bacterium
Lineage: Bacteria
Description: partial 16S ribosomal RNA
Rfam family: Bacterial small subunit ribosomal RNA
Source: RNAcentral
CAACGCCGCGUGGGGGAUGAAGCUUUUCGGAGUGUAAACCCCUUUCGACCCGGAAGAAAGCCCGCAAGGGUUUGACGGUACGGGUAUAAGAAGCCCCGGCUAAACUACGUGC